This 252-nucleotide ribosomal RNA is filed under the name uncultured bacterium. RNAcentral describes it as "partial 16S ribosomal RNA". It matches the Rfam family "Bacterial small subunit ribosomal RNA", at positions 524 to 776 of the family's 1533-position model. The record is from RNAcentral.
UACGAAGGGGGCUAGCGUUGCUCGGAAUGACUGGGCGUAAAGGGCGCGUAGGCGGCUUGCACCGUCAGAUGUGAAAUUCCUGGGCUUAACCUGGGGGCUGCAUUUGAUACGUGUGGGCUUGAGUGCGGAAGAGGGUCGUGGAAUUCCCAGUGUAGAGGUGAAAUUCGUAGAUAUUGGGAAGAACACCGGUGGCGAAGGCGGCGACCUGGUCCGUGACUGACGCUGAGGCGCGAAAGCGUGGGAGCAAACAGG